Molecule: ribosomal RNA, 613 nt
Filed under: Curvibasidium nothofagi
Lineage: Eukaryota; Fungi; Basidiomycota; Microbotryomycetes
Description: eukaryotic LSU rRNA
Rfam family: Eukaryotic large subunit ribosomal RNA
Source: RNAcentral
UAAGCGGAGGAAAAGAAACUAACAAGGAUUCCCCUAGUAACGGCGAGUGAAGCGGGAAGAGCUCAAAUUUGUAAUCUGGCACUUUCAGUGUCCGAGUUGUAAUCUCGAGAAGUGUUUUCCGCGCCGGACCGCAUACAAGUCUGUUGGAAUACAGCGUCAUAGUGGUGAGAACCCCGUAACUGAUGCGGAUGCCCGGUGCUUUGUGAUACACUUUCGAAGAGUCGAGUUGUUUGGGAAUGCAGCUCAAAUUGGGUGGUAAAUUCCAUCUAAAGCUAAAUAUUGGCGAGAGACCGAUAGCGAACAAGUACCGUGAGGGAAAGAUGAAAAGCACUUUGGAAAGAGAGUUAACAGUACGUGAAAUUGUUGGAAGGGAAACGAUUGAAGUCAGACUUGUUACCUGGAGUUCAGCCUUUCGGUGUACUCUCCAGUUUACAGGCCAGCAUCAGUUUUCGGGGCGGGAAAAUCGUAAUUAGAAGGUAGCAGCCUAGCUGUGUUAUAGCUUUUUACUGGAUUCCGCUUUGGGGACUGAGGAACGCAGUGUGCUUUUAGCAAUACCCUCGGGUAUUUCACACUUAGGAUGCUGGUGGAAUGGCUUUAAACGACCCGUCUUGAA